AUUGAACGCUGGCGGCAGGCCUAACACAUGCAAGUCGAGCGGAUGAAGGGAGCUUGCUCCUGGAUUCAGCGGCGGACGGGUGAGUAAUGCCUAGGAAUCUGCCUGGUAGUGGGGGAUAACGUCCGGAAACGGGCGCUAAUACCGCAUACGUCCUGAGGGAGAAAGUGGGGGAUCUUCGGACCUCACGCUAUCAGAUGAGCCUAGGUCGGAUUAGCUAGUUGGUGGGGUAAAGGCCUACCAAGGCGACGAUCCGUAACUGGUCUGAGGGGAUGAUCAGUCAAAAUGGAAAUGAGAAAAGGGCCAAAAUCCCUAGGGAAGGAGGAGUUGGGAAAAAUUGGAAAAGGGGGGAAGGCUGAAUCAAGCAAGGCGGGGGUGGUGAAAAAGGUCUUCGAAUGGAAAAGCACUUUAAGUGGGAGGAAGGGCAGUAAGUUAAUACCUUGCUGUUUUGACGUUACCAACAGAAUAAGCACCGGCUAACUUCGUG
Molecule: ribosomal RNA, 484 nt
Filed under: uncultured bacterium
Lineage: Bacteria
Description: partial 16S ribosomal RNA
Rfam family: Bacterial small subunit ribosomal RNA
Source: RNAcentral